This 554-nucleotide ribosomal RNA is filed under the name Opsarius profundus. RNAcentral's name for it is "partial small subunit ribosomal RNA". It matches the Rfam family "Bacterial large subunit ribosomal RNA", at positions 1854 to 2611 of the family's 2925-position model. The record is from RNAcentral. Lineage: Eukaryota; Metazoa; Chordata; Actinopteri; Cypriniformes; Danionidae.
CAGCCUGCCCAGUGACUAUUAGUUUAACGGCCGCGGUAUUCUGACCGUGCGAAGGUAGCGUAAUCACUCGUCCUUUAAAUGGGGAAAAGUAUGAAAGGUUAAACGAGGACUCAGCUGUCUCCCCUCCCCAGUCAGUGAAAUUGAUCUACCCGUGCAGAAGCGGGUGUAAAUAUACAAGACGAGAAGACCCUUUGGAGCUUUAGGUACAGGUAUUAACCGUGUCGGGAAGUCAAUAAAAGACUCCCCUCCCACGGAACUAAGACCCUACCUUAGGUUGGGGCGACCAUGGAGAAGAAAAAAACCUCCAGGUGGAAUGGGACAUCCCUAGAACUGAGAGAGCCAUCUCUGAGUCACAGAAAUUCUGACCAAAAAUGAUCCGGUCAACUGACCGAUAAACGAACCAAGUUACCCCAGGGAUAACAGCGCAAUCCUCUCCCAGAGCCCAUAUCGACGAGGGGGUUUACGACCUCGAUGUUGGAUCAGGACAUCCUAAUGGUGUAGCCGCUAUUGAGGGUUCGUUUGUUCAACGAUUAAAGUCCUACGUGAUCUGAGUU